UGCAGUCGACGGUACGGGUCCUUCGGGAUGCCGACGAGUGGCGAACGGGUGAGUAAUAUAUCGGAACGUGCCCAGUAGUGGGGGAUAACUGCUCGAAAGAGCAGCUAAUACCGCAUACGACCUGAGGGUGAAAGGGGGGGAUCGCAAGACCUCUCGCUAUUGGAGCGGCCGAUAUCAGAUUAGCUAGUUGGUGGGGUAAAGGCCUACCAAGGCAACGAUCUGUAGUUGGUCUGAGAGGACGACCAGCCACACUGGGACUGAGACACGGCCCAGACUCCUACGGGAGGCAGCAGUGGGGAAUUUUGGACAAUGGGCGCAAGCCUGAUCCAGCAAUGCCGCGUGCAGGAAGAAGGCCUUCGGGUUGUAAACUGCUUUUGUCAGGGAAGAAAUCUUCUGGGCUAAUACCCCGGGAGGAUGACGGUACCUGAAGAAUAAGCACCGGCUAACUACGUGCCAGCGGCCGCGGUAAUACGUAGGGUGCGAGCGUUAAUCGGGAAUUACUGGGCGUAAAGCGUGCGCAGGCGGCUUUUGUAAGACAGAUGUGAAAUUCCCCGGGCUCAACCUGGGGAACUGCAUUUGUGACUGCAAAGGCUAGAGUACGGCAGAGGGGGAUGGAAUUCCGCGUGUAGCAGUGAAAUGCGUAGAUAUGCGGAGGAACACCAAUGGCGAAGGCAAUCCCCUGGGCCUGUACUGACGCUCAUGCACGAAAGCGUGGGGAGCAAACAGGAUUAGAUACCCUGGUAGUCCACGCCCUAAACGAUGUCAACUGGUUGUUGGACGGCUUGCUGUUCAGUAACGAAGCUAACGCGUGAAGUUGACCGCCUGGGGAGUACGGCCGCAAGGUUGAAACUCAAAGGGAAUUGACGGGGAACCCGCACAAGCGGUGGAUGAUGUGGUUUAAUUCGAUGCCAACGCGAAAAACCUUUACCUACCCUUGACAUUGUCAAGAAUUCUGCAGAGAUGUGGAAGUGCUCGAAAGAGAACUUGAACACAGGUGCUGCAUGGCCGUCGUCAGCUCGUGUCGUGAGAUGUUGGGUUAAGUCCCGCAACGAGCGCAACCCUUGUCAUUAGUUGCUACGCAAGAGCACUCUAAUGAGACUGCCGGUGACAAACCGGAGGAAGGUGGGGAUGACGUCAGGUCCUCAUGGCCCUUAUGGGUAGGGCUACACACGUCAUACAAUGGCCGGUACAGAGGGCUGCCAACCCGCGAGGGGGAGCCAAACCCAGAAAACCGGUCGUAGUCCGGAUCGUAGUCUGCAACUCGACUGCGUGAAGUCGGAAUCGCUAGUAAUCGCGGAUCAGCAUGUCGCGGUGAAUACGUUCCCGGGUCUUGUACACACCGCCCGUCACACCAUGGGAGCGGGUUCUGCCAGAAGUGGGUAGCCUAACCGCAAGGAGGGCGCUA
This 1405-nucleotide ribosomal RNA is filed under the name uncultured bacterium. Its description in RNAcentral is "bacterial SSU rRNA". It matches the Rfam family "Bacterial small subunit ribosomal RNA". The record is from RNAcentral.